AGAAUCAACGCUGGCGGCGUGCCUAACACAUGCAAGUCGAACGAGAAAGUGGAGCAAUCCAUGAGUAAAGUGGCGCACGGGUGAGUAACACGUGACUAACCUACCCUUGAGUGGGGAAUAAACUGAGGGAAACCUUAGCUAAUACCGCAUAACACCUACGGGUCAAAGGAGCAAUUCGCUUAAGGAGGGGGUCGCGGCAGAUUAGCUAGUUGGCGGGGUAAUGGCCCACCAAGGCAGUGAUCUGUA
Molecule: ribosomal RNA, 246 nt
Filed under: uncultured bacterium
Lineage: Bacteria
Description: partial small subunit ribosomal RNA
Rfam family: Bacterial small subunit ribosomal RNA
Source: RNAcentral